RNAcentral lists this transfer RNA (87 nucleotides) under Candidatus Cloacimonadota bacterium. RNAcentral's name for it is "tRNA-Ile". It matches the Rfam family "tRNA". Rfam says of the family: Transfer RNA (tRNA) molecules are approximately 80 nucleotides in length. Lineage: Bacteria; Pseudomonadati; Candidatus Cloacimonadota. The record is from RNAcentral.
GCGGGUGUGCCGGAACGGUUAACGGGCCAGACUUAUAAUCUGGAGCUCUGGGCAAACCAGUAGUGGGUUCAACUCCUACCACCCGUA